Molecule: ribosomal RNA, 459 nt
Filed under: uncultured bacterium
Lineage: Bacteria
Description: partial 16S ribosomal RNA
Rfam family: Bacterial small subunit ribosomal RNA
Source: RNAcentral
CCUACGGGGGACUGCAGUGAGGAAUAUUGGUCAAUGGGCGCGAGCCUGAACCAGCCAAGUCGCGUGAGGGAAGACGGUCCUAUGGAUUGUAAACCUCUUUUGUCGGGGAGCAAAAGACGCCACGCGUGGCGUUCCGAGAGUUCCCGAAGAAAAAGCAUCGGCUAACUCCGUGCCAGCAGCCGCGGUAAUACGGAGGAUUCGGGCGUUAUCCGGAUUUAUUGGGUUUAAAGGGUGCGCAGGCGGAAGAUUAAGUCAGCGGUAAAAUUGAGGGGCUCAACCUCUUCGAGCCGUUGAAACUGGCGGUCUUGAGUGGGCGAGAAGUAUGCGGAAUGCGUGGUGUAGCGGUGAAAUGCAUAGAUAUCACGCAGAACUCCGAUUGCGAAGGCAGCAUGCCGGCGCCCGACUGACGCUGAGGCACGAAAGCGUGGGUAUCGAACAGGAUUAGAUACCCGGGUAGUC